Molecule: ribosomal RNA, 436 nt
Filed under: uncultured bacterium
Lineage: Bacteria
Description: bacterial SSU rRNA
Rfam family: Bacterial small subunit ribosomal RNA
Source: RNAcentral
AGAGUUUGAUCCUGGCUCAGAUUGAACGCUGGCGGCAGGCCUAACACAUGCAAGUCGAGCGGCAGCGCGGCAGUAGCAAUACUGUGGGUGGCGAGCGGCGGACGGGUGAGGAACACAUCGGAAUCUACCCUGUCGUGGGGGACAACGUAGGGAAACUUACGCUAAUACCGCAUACGACCUUUGGGUGAAAGCGGGGGAACUCGCAAGGGCCCCGCGCGAUUGGAUGAGCCGAUGUCCGAUUAGCUAGUUGGCGGGGUAAAGGCCCACCAAGGCGACGAUCGGUAGCUGGUCUGAGAGGACGACCAGCCACACCGGAACUGAGACACGGUCCGGACUCCUACGGGAGGCAGCAGUGGGGAAUAUUGGACAAUGGGGGAAACCCUGAUCCAGCGACGCCGCGUGUGUGAAGAAGGCCUGCGGGUUGUAAAGCACUUUU